GUGGGUGUGGUUCAGGUGGUUAGAGCGUCAGGUUGUGGCCCUGAAGAUCGCCGGUUCGAGUCCGGUCAUCCACCCCA
RNAcentral lists this transfer RNA (77 nucleotides) under Clostridiales bacterium. Its description in RNAcentral is "tRNA-His". It matches the Rfam family "tRNA". From Rfam's summary of the family: Transfer RNA (tRNA) molecules are approximately 80 nucleotides in length. Their secondary structure includes four short double-helical elements and three loops (D, anti-codon, and T loops). The record is from RNAcentral. Lineage: Bacteria; Bacillati; Bacillota; Clostridia; Eubacteriales.